This 293-nucleotide unclassified non-coding RNA is filed under the name uncultured fungus. RNAcentral's name for it is "sequence contains ITS1". The stretch from base 1 to 105 matches the Rfam family "5.8S ribosomal RNA", at positions 50 to 154 of the family's 154-position model. Lineage: Eukaryota; Fungi. The record is from RNAcentral.
GAAUUGCGAAAAGUAAUGUGAAUUGCAUAAUUCCGUGAAUCAUCAAAUCUUUGAACGCAUAUUGCGCUAGCUGGAACUCCGGCUAGCAUGCCUGUUUGAGUCUCAGUUUAAACCUCACUCCCAAAAGGGGUGGAUAUGGGUGAUGGGUCUUCCCUUACCUUAAAAUUAUGAGUGCUAAACCAAGUACAAAUAGAGCCAGUCCGCAAGGAAUGUCUAUUUCGUGGCUAGUCCAACCCUCUAACACAAACUGAAUCAAUGAGCUCAAAUCAAGCAAGACAACCCGCUGAACUUAA